AAGUAGGAGCAUCAGCCAUUACUUCUGAUCUGUUAAUGGUCAAAAUUUUGUGUUUGCUAUAGUAGUUUUAUGUCUCCAUUCUUGUGUCUUUUUUCAUCAGGCUUUGGGUGUUAGCCUGAUUUUUAAAGCUUGAGCUUUUUGAAUGCCAUAUUAUUUCAGUUUGAACAGAACAUUCUCCAUUUUACAUUAAUCUGUGGAGUACUGUAGAAAGGAAAUAAAACUAUUCUGAGCAGCUUAGUCUAAGAUAAAAUUAGGAGUCAUUGUGGGGAUUGUUUUUGAUAGGGAGAGGAGACCUUAUAAAAAGCCUAAUUGUGAAAGAAUCAGUUCCUAAAGGUGUUAAAAUUUUCUAAAAUAAAUGCUUAAUUAUACAUACAAGAAUUGAAUAGUGUGGAAAAAGUUUGGUUUAUAGUUACCUUUGCACUGUUACAUAAUCAAAUUUUCUGAGCCUGGAUUAUAUGAACAGACAGAAACAUUGUUUUCUUUACAGUAUGCUGUUUGGGUUGUUUUUGAGUGGUUAAAAUUUUAAAACAACAAAUGUUAAAUCUGCUCCGGCGCCUAGACAAAUUGCAAAGGUUAAUGUUUCUGGGAAAUAAUAAGCCUCGGGGAACAUACAGGCAAAUCACUGUUGUAAUUAGAUUGAUGAAAUAUGGCUGAAAUUAACAACACUUGAGCUUUUUAGCUCUGCCCAAAGCAGCAAACUUGUAAGCAAAUGUGCAAUAAAAAAUAAUCUUGAUCCAUUUCACUGUGGAUGUGUGUUUGAUAUCUUGUACUCUACUGACAUCUAUUAUAGGAGGAAUUACCAGUGAUUCUUCCUAAUAUCAUGUAUUGUAGCCACUAAUUGAAAGGGCAGUUUUCCUGAAAUGCAUCUGUGAAAAGUUUUAUAUUAUAUACUUUUGAGUAAAUUG
Molecule: long non-coding RNA, 905 nt
Filed under: Bos taurus (domestic cattle)
Lineage: Eukaryota; Metazoa; Chordata; Mammalia; Artiodactyla; Bovidae
Description: long non-coding RNA NONBTAT025166
Source: RNAcentral